Molecule: RNA transcript, 3576 nt
Organism: Mercurialis annua (annual mercury)
Lineage: Eukaryota; Viridiplantae; Streptophyta; Magnoliopsida; Malpighiales; Euphorbiaceae
Exons: 8
Source: RefSeq, a predicted model, not a curated record
GAAUCCUUCCUUUUCUUCUUAAAUUUAUAGUUUGAAUUAGCAUUUUCUGAUUUUUAGUUCCGUUGGGUGAUUAAGUUGAUUUACAGUACCUAUAAUGGCAACACAUUUAGUUUACAAUUCCUAAGUUCAUGACCUAAGCCUGAAUUUUUGAUUUAUCAAGUUAAGUUUUUAUAGUUAUGUAGAAUAAUAUUUUGUUACAGUUAUUUUGUUAAAAUUAAAAGUUUUAGUUACUUUUUUUAAUGACUUAAAGUUAUCUAAUAGAUUACUUAGUUUCGCCUUGCAAAAACCCCCGGGGUAGUUAUCAUGUCCAUUGCUUAAAAUUCAGCACUUAAUUAUUAGUUCUAUAGAAAGUCAUUAUAUGUCUAAUUUAAACUUCACUGCGUGGUCACCUCAAUGAUCAGUUCAAGAAAUAGUUAUAUAAUUUCUCUAACAGGCUGAUAAGUGUACUACACUACUACUAGCAAUGUUAUGCCAAUGCAUCUGGCUAGCAUUCUUCUCUCAGGGAGGAGUUUGCAUAUGAACAAACAUUUAGGGCUGUCCUUGUUGGUACUUGUUAGAACAUCAACCUUCGACGCGUAAGCAAUUUGCUUAAAGAGUUCUGAGGCUCUAGAACAACAACAUCCCACUGAAAAUUAUAGGACUUAAUCUAGAUUCCCCACUAGAGGUAGACAGUUCAGAGAUAAUAAAUCUAUUGGUGGAGUUUAGAUAUCAAAUUAGAGCUUUCAAUCUAAGUUAAUGGCUACUCAGGGUAUCCAUGAGACUCAGUGGUCAGAUCUUGUUUCCUCUGUGAUUCAGUUAGCAUUCUUAUCCUUGGUUCCUCUAUGAUUCAGGUGCAUUCCUUCCACUUGCUCGCUGAUGAUAUUUUAUUGUAUACAACCUAGUUAUAUACAGAUAAGUACCUUAUUAGUGAGAUGGCUACUCAGGGGAUAUCCAUGAGAUGCAGCAGUCAAAUCUUGUAUCCUCCGCUCCUAAAGCCUUGGGCAUAGACAAUAUACUAGGCUUUGAUUGGCCGAAAUCUCCAUCUCAUGAAGCAAUGAUUCGAGCGCUUGAAUUCUUUUAUUUGUUGGGUAUGCUUGAUGAUGAUGCUUGACUUCACCAGUUGGAUCUCAAGCAGCAGAGAUCCUACUAGUAUGCCACAAACACUUACUGUUAAAAUAUUGUAUAAUUAAGCUUCUUAUUGCGUCUUAUAUCACUGUUUUAACCUUGAUGCAUGGAUAGUUUGGCAAUUGUGCUUUGAGUGAGAUAAACAUCAACUCUUGUGUUUUUCUCUUUCAAGUAAAUAAAUUGAGAAAAAUGAGUAAGUGCAUUGAAGUUAGACUUCACCAUUUGGAUGUCAAAUAGGAGAGAUUACACUACUAUGCCACAAACACUUGCUGUUAAAAAUUUGCAAUCUUUAAGCUUCUUAUAGCAUUCUAUAUCACUAUUUUAAUCUUGAUGCAUGGAUAGCUUGUUAAUGGUGGUUUGAAUGCAAUGAAAAUGGUUAGAUAAUCUUUUAUGUUUUUCUUCUUCUUUGAAGUAAAUAUGGUUUAGAGAAAUGACCAAAUGCAGGAAAACCUUGUAUUCUAGUAUAUAUGUACUGAAGCUCUUCUAUUUUCAAUUUGAUAUUUUGUUACUUAACACAAAAGUGGACGUGUGGAAAUCUCUUCUCUUUAGUACUCCUUCCGAUUAUCUCGAGAAUAUACAUUGAAUAAAUGUAUCAAAUUGAACUUGCUUCUGUCUGUUCCUUGAGAAAAGUUGACCUUGUAAUGUAUGGUUCAGAACAGGGCAUUUCAGGCUUAUGAUGGAUGAGUUUCCAGUGGCUGUAUGCCCUGGAAGUUGGAAUGGCCUUUCUUUCCAUUGAGAAAAGAAAAAGAAAAAAGAAGGAUCCAUUGAUUUCAAAAAUAACGUCAUCUUCCCACCAAUUUGAAUGUUCUAAGGAGAUCAUUACCAUUGCUGCUGUUCUCUCCCUUCAGUUGGCACCCUUAAAUUAUGACAUGUGGACUCUCAAACAUCGUACCAAACUGGAAACAUGCGUUACGAGUCCUUCGGCCUUCUCCAGCAGCUUCGUCUUCCAUCACUCUUCAAACCGUCAACUGAGAUAUGCGACACCAUAUAAAAAAAAAAGAACUCAACUGUACCAAUCUUUGCCUCUUCAAUCUUCCACGGCAACUCAGUAUUGCAGAAAAACAAUUAUGUCAAACAAGUAAAGAUAUGCUACAAAAAGAAUGAUCCAUGGCAGGUCAAUACAAGAACUAGAUAAACAAUUUUUGUCCAUGUGAAGCUUAACGGUGUGAUCACAGUGCUGUAGCGAGACCAUUUGAGUCCGGUUGCUGUAACCAAUCAUAACUGAGCAGACUUGCUUUGAAGGAGUUGAUAUUCUUUCUAUGUCAGUGGUUUAACGGCAGAACUCUCGCUUAUAAGGACCACGCAGUUCUACCUAAAGCUUAGGAGAUAUGGAGUUUGGAAUUACUUCUACAAGUACAUACAGAGAUCAUUAAGAUGAUUGAUGAGGAGAGUGAGGAACGAAUGGUCUUGACUUGUUGGAACAAAAGCUGAAGGAAAUGAGGAUUCUUGAUAAUGUUGAGUUGCCCUCAAAUGUUUGUUAAAUCAGUGAAAGUUCUGCUGUUGAAUCAGUAGUUGAAGAUGUUGAAGUUGACGAUUCUAAUAAAGAAACCAAUUCGACUACUAAAGAGGAGGAAGAAGAAAAACAGGAGCAAGAGGAGGAGAAAAUUGAUGUGAAACUUUAGGCAGAUCCAACGCAGCCAAAGAUUAUCCGAGUGACAAAUCUAUAAGUUGUUGAUGGACAUGAAGUAUAAUGGGAUUUCUGAGUUUCACAGUGAAAUUCUCAAUAAAUUUUAUAAGUUUUGGCUUGAGAAGUUUCAGAAUAAAACAAAUGGAGUAACACCAAGAAGGAUUUCUUUUUGCAAUCCAGAUCUGAGUAUUCCUGUCCAAAUGGAGUGGAACAGAUGAUUAGGUACUCAACACUCAGAAACUCAAGACCUUCAAAAAAGACAUUGCUAUUUGAUGCGUGCUACUAAUUGGUAUGUAACUUGCCGACCCUUUUAUCAUUUUUGAUAACCUGGUCCUGUUCCAUUGGUAUUUUUGGUAGCACUUCGUUUCAAUUUGUGUAGUAGUUGAAAAUGAUAAGCACAAGUUUAUUGGAAGCAUUUUAAAGCAAUUCACUAAGCAUGCAGAGAAAUGACCCUUGAUGGCUGAGGUUGCAAGAGAAUUUCUUUCCGUAACCUCAAGAACUCAGCUUCCACAUUCAUACUCAUCUACUUUGGACGAGAUGUCCAGUUUAAAUGUGGAACGAGGGAUUACCCCAUUAUUCUUUUAAGGUUUCAUCUCUUUGUAUGCAUAAAAAUGCAACUUGAUUUCACAUAUGUUAUAUUCAUAUCACUUGAGCGAGGAAAAAAAUGUUUGUAUCGUAUUCUCUGUUGAGUAUGGGGAUUUAGGCUAUUGAUGAACAUGUGUAAAUUAAGAUUAGCAAGAAUUUCAUAGAUUUACCAUACAGAAAGAGCGCAAAUUUAAAAUUAUUGUCGGAAUGGUAAGGAAUCAUGUUAGCAUACUUAUAGGAAAAUUUCAGUUGUAUCCUAA